GCAGGGGCUGGGGCUCAGUGGCAGAGCACUUGUCUAGCAAGUGUGAGGCACUGGGUUCAAUUCUCAGCACUGCA
This 74-nucleotide transfer RNA is filed under the name Marmota monax (woodchuck). Its description in RNAcentral is "tRNA.Ala". Lineage: Eukaryota; Metazoa; Chordata; Mammalia; Rodentia; Sciuridae. The record is from RNAcentral.